GACGAACGCUGGCGGCGUGCUUAACACAUGCAAGUCGAAGGAUGAAGCCGGAGCUUGCUCUGGUGAAUUAGUGGCGAACGGGUGAGUAACACGUGAGUAACCUGCCCUUGACUCUGGGAUAACUGCGGGAAACUGUAGCUAAUACCGGAUACGACCCUCGGAGGCAUCUCCUGGGGGUGGAAAGAAUUUCGGUCAAGGAUGGGCUCGCGGCCUAUCAGCUAGUUGGUGAGGUAAAGGCUCACCAAGGCGACGACGGGUAGCCGGCCUGAGAGGGUGACCGGCCACACUGGGACUGAGACACGGCCCAGACUCCUACGGGAGGCAGCAGUGGGGAAUAUUGCACAAUGGGCGCAAGCCUGAUGCAGCAACGCCGCGUGAGGGAUGACGGCCUUCGGGUUGUAAACCUCUUUUAGCAGGGAAGAAGCGAAAGUGACGGUACCUGCAGAAAAAGCACCGGCUAACUACGUGCCAGCAGCCGCCGUAA
Molecule: ribosomal RNA, 484 nt
Filed under: uncultured bacterium
Lineage: Bacteria
Description: partial 16S ribosomal RNA
Rfam family: Bacterial small subunit ribosomal RNA
Source: RNAcentral